AAGUUGACGUGAACAUGCCAAAAGCUGAGGUAGAAGUGAAAAAAGAAGAAGUUAAAGAAGGUGACAUUCAGUGAGAAUCUGAUUCAAGGACCUACUCCAUAUCGUUUUGAAACAAGGGAUUCAUCAGCUCAAGGUGAAGACUUUUCUUCGUCAGAAGAAUCUGAAAGUUCGGCAGAAAGUGAGUCUAAGGAGAGCAAGGAAGAAUCUGAGAAAGAAUUUUCACUAGAUGAGUACGUGAAAAGUGAAAAGCAAAAACUUUGGACAAGUGUUGAAGAAGAGGAGAGAUUGAACAAAGGACUUGGAGGUAAAAGAAUUGGGAAAGGUUUCAGAAAUUUUGGAAACGGGUAUCUUCGGAGGUAAAGCUAAAGGAGAUUUAGUUUUACCUACAGUUCUCACAAGUAAAAGUCCAGCAGAGUUUGUAAGUGAAGCAGUACCUGAACAAAAAGCUCAGGUGUGCUGCGAUCUUCUCAACAUAGUCUAAGAUUGGUACGGCUCCAGGUAACUCCAUAUUAUUGGCAUGGUACUCUCGCAGGAAGAACACAGAAACGGUCGGUUUCGGAAAUGUUCUUAUGUCGAUAAUUAAUGGAUUAGAGGAGUUACCUGUAGGCAUCUGAAAUCAUGGUGAGGAGACUUUGAUUCCAGGUGGAGCUGUUGGGAGAUUCAAGGGAAGACAUGUGAGCUGUGUUUUCAUGAAUCUGGGAAGCAAGUCGAGAGUACAAGGUUCAGGUUAAGGGACUUACCUGAGGUCAUCUAAGUAGCUAAAGAACAUGGGCUGUUCAUCGGAAGGAGCUGCAAAGAAGAUGAAAUUGAAACUGAUUAGUUUCAGGUGGAGUAGCUGGAAGUGAUUCAUGAAGAGGUUGAUUCAAAGCUCAGUGCACAUGAGAUGAAUCAACAGGUCGACAAAGAUGAAUCAAGUUUUCUGGAGAAGCUACGAAGUAUGAAAUCAAUAAUUAAGAUUUCAUGGUGUCUUGGAAGUAUUUUAAGAUACAGAGAAGAAAAGGAGAUGAUUCAGGUCAGAGGGUUACCUGAGUUCAUCGGAGAAGUUGUGUUUUUCCGCUGCUGCGUAAUAAAGGACUGAAAUUUCAGAAUUGGGAAUCUCAGAAAGGGUCAAUUUCAAAUCAUCACAGCAAGGAGAUGAAGAGGAAAUUGAGGAUACCUGAGAUUACAGAAGAUUAUUGCGACAGAAGAAUCGCAGGAGAUGAAUUUUUUCUUUUUUUUGGUUUGAGAAAAUUUGCAUCUAGUUUCACUAUCGGGAAAAAUCAAAGAGGAAUUGACACUUUGGAGCUUGAAUGGUGACGUGUGAGGGCAGUUGAAGAUACCAGAGAGUGUCGACGGCGACGACAUCACCGGAAAUGAAAAACCCAGGUUGAUCUCUUGAAAUCGCGAUUGAGAGAGAUGAUGGGAAAUUUGGUGACAAGGAUCGAAAUUGGUUGAGCCCAAUGAUGUCGCAAGCUUCAGAGUUUGUCAGAAGUGGUCGAGGUUUGAGAGUUCGCCGGAGUUGAAGUUGCAGAAUGGGAUUUGCAUCUCAGGCGAAGUAGAAGCUUCGAUGAAGAAGAAAACGUGAAAAGAAGAUGAUGGGAAGGUGGGCCUGUGGAGAUUGUGAAGAUAUGGGUUUUGGAUCAAUAUUAUUCACUUGGGCCAGAAGUUUCAGACAAAGCCAUAAAGCCUA
RNAcentral lists this long non-coding RNA (1669 nucleotides) under Eutrema salsugineum. RNAcentral describes it as "long non-coding RNA (ESAL_LNC000207)". The record is from RNAcentral. Lineage: Eukaryota; Viridiplantae; Streptophyta; Magnoliopsida; Brassicales; Brassicaceae.